CUACGGAGGCUGAGGACGCAGCUCACCCGGCCCCUGGUGUCUGGAAACGUUUCGAAAAUGCGGUGAACUAGGGGAAGUCACCCAGCGAGUAAGAGGAAACGUGGGGAGAGCCCUGGGGUCAGAGGUGCUGCUGCUGGAGACCAGUAACCCCCUCCGCACCUCCACACACCCAGGCCAGCUGCCUUCAGAGGCCCUGCUUCUGGGUGCUCGGUUACAUUGCUAGGAGCCUGGGCUGGAGCCCUGGUGUGUGAGUGGGGAGCCCGAGUCAAAGGGUAAGGCACUGGAGACAGCUGGCUUCUGCAUCUGCUGAAAAACCUGCCUCAGAGCCAGCCAGCAGCAGCCGCGGCCACCUGGGGCACACAGGCCGCCUCGCAAGGUGUCUUUCUCCAGGGUCUUCAAUCCCAGGAAAAGCAAGUUCCUACUUAUGAUCUGGAAGAAUGCAAGGGAGAACCUUGUCUGACCCUGGGCACUGGACAUGGAAAGCACCAACGUUCAGUCCAUGGAGUGGGCACCCACGCUGGGGCACUCGGGCUGGGACCUGAAGGAGGCACCCGCCGGACAAGCUGUAAAGGCAAGAGGCAGCCAUGUGAGCAGGGACAGGACCCCACCGGGAUGGCCAGCUCAGAGGACACAGGGAGGUGACGCCGCUUGGAGGCCGUGCAGUUAAUCCAGAUGGGCCCAGGGACAAUGCCAAUCCACGGGAGGCAGUGACUCUGCACCAGUUUCAGACCUAGAACUGAAGAGGCCUCGGAGCGUCUACACUGGCUCUCUUGGAGCCCAGCUGCUGUGCUGGAGGGCAGUCCAGGCUCCCCCGUUUGAGAAACACAUGGAGAGGGUCUGGACGCAGCACCAACGUGGACAGGCCGUGGGAAGAAGAUCCGAGAUGCCCUGGCUGAUGGAACCAAGCUCUGGGAUGAGAGGGCCGCUGCCUUGGACCUCCUAGCCUGGCCGCCAGCUGUCCCAUGAAAGGCUUCAGCCAACAACUUGGGGAGCAGAACAACUGCCCAGGCGACCCACGGAACUGUGAGAAUAAACACUACUGGCUUGGCCACGAAGGCCUGGGUAAACUGCAGCAAGAGGUAGCUGAAACUACGGAGGGAACGACUGACCAAAGCCUUCGGGGUGAUGGUUCCCUCUGAACAGGAGAAGGGCAGCCAGGGGUCUUUUGAAAUACUAGGAAUGUGCUGCUUUUUAAACCUGGAUACAUCUAGAUUUAGUAUUUAAAUAUGCAUACUUUUGCAUGGAGAUGUGCUUUCCAUUUUCUUUCUUUUUAUUUUUUAAAUUAUUUUUCUUUUCAAGCAAAUGAAUACUUUUAUUAACACUUUUUUUUUUUUAAAACAUGGUAAGGUUUUGACCUCAAAUACUUGUCAGGUCUGCUAAUGAGACCAAAGGAGGAGAGAUGUAUUUUGUUCAAAACUUAAAUUUUACAUGGUUCGUUAUCUGACGUAAUCUGUUUUUUUACUGUUUUGCCAUAGGGUGUGUGCACUUGCUGGAGAAAGAGUGAGAGGGAAAGUGAGAAAU
Tupaia belangeri chinensis (Chinese tree shrew) is the source of this 1521-nucleotide long non-coding RNA. RefSeq lists it as uncharacterized. The transcript has 3 exons. The record is from RefSeq and is a predicted model, not a curated record. Lineage: Eukaryota; Metazoa; Chordata; Mammalia; Scandentia; Tupaiidae.